Drosophila ananassae is the source of this 1211-nucleotide long non-coding RNA. RefSeq lists it as uncharacterized. The transcript is spliced from 2 exons. Lineage: Eukaryota; Metazoa; Arthropoda; Insecta; Diptera; Drosophilidae. The record is from RefSeq and is a predicted model, not a curated record.
UCUGCAUACAUGGAGUAUAGUGACGAAAACAUUUCAUUUAAUAAGCAAGCCUUGAAAGUAAUUUCGAAAUAUUUGCUAUAUAAGAGGGCUUCUGUUCCGUCUAGAAUCAGUUACUGACUGCCCUCCAAACAGCGAGGACCAAAUUUUUUGGAUUUAUUUAUUUCUUAAAAAGUGAAAAAAGUAUAAAAAGUCUUAACCUGAAAUUGAAACCAAAAAAAGAGGAAACUGAAGAUGAGAUACGAAGGGGCUGCUGUCACCCAAAGAAAGUUUUAUAGCCUAUAGUACAGUUUGUAUUCAAGAAUAAAACUGUCUUCGAGUGACAGCAGUUCUUUCGAAUUUCCUAUACAGUUUCUUCUUUUUUUGAUUCUAAUGGAACUUAAUUCCCUUAUAUUUCGGCGAAUCGGGACGAAGCCCGUUGUAGUACUUGUGAUGUUGCUGGCAAAGUUGAAGUAAUCUACAUCCUGGUCUAUGGCCUGAGAGCGCUAAAGACGAUCAUAUAAGGUAGAGUUCUACGCCCAAGGCGCUUAAAUUCUGGCGAAGCACCUGAUAGCUCCUGGUGCAGAUUCCCGGCUUUCUGCACCGUUCGGAUGUGCAGAAAUUCGUCCAGAUGGGUGGCCUCCUCAAGGAUAACGAAGCCAAUGUGCCAAUCCAUCCUGGCUAGUAAAGAACUCUACCACGAAACGCUUCAACUGGAGGAGCAGGAACAGUUGGCCAUAUCAGUGGAUGGCCACGCCAGUGGAAAUAAAAGGAUUUAUAGAUCUGUUUGAAACGUUAAAAAUUCGUCAGUUCCAUGAAUUAUGGAUGCCAAUGUCAGAAACUAACCUCAAACUUUAGUUGAUGGUCCUUCAACUCCACCCCAAUGGGCCUGAUCUCGCCUGAGCUUGCACAUAUUCAUAUCAUAGUAAAUUCAAUACUGAAUGCCAUAACUUCGUUGUUUUUCAAGUUAGAAGGAUGGGAGUUUCAAUGGAUUCCUAUUUGGGCAAAAUAAUUCGAUGUGCCAAAUUAUAUAAGGAUCGUCCGACUACAUACGAUCCGCUAAUAAUGUAAGAUGCGUGUCGCCACCUAGCGGACUGCGACUCAACUGCAAGAGUAUAUAAACUUCGGCUCCGCCCGAAGUUAGCUUUCCUUUCUUGUUUUUUUUGUUUUUUAUAUUAUUUUUUUCACUUCCGAAUUAAAUAUAAUGGUCUCUGAGUAACAGCAGUCCUUCCGUA